CUACCGGGGUUUCUAAUCCUGUUUGCUCCCCACGCUUUCGCGCCUCAGCGUCAGGACCGGACCAGAGAGCCGCUUUCGCCACCGGUGUUCCACCCAAUAUCUACGAAUUUCACCUCUACACUGGGUAUUCCACCCUCCUCUUCCGGCCUCCAGCCAAAGAGUAUCGGCCGCACCUCCGGGGUUGAGCCCCGGGCUUUCACAAAGCCGACUGCCUUGGCCGCCUACGCGCCCUUUACGCCCAGUGAUUCCGAACAACGCUAGCACCCUCCGUCUUACCGCGGCUGCUGGCAC
RNAcentral lists this ribosomal RNA (291 nucleotides) under uncultured Alphaproteobacteria bacterium. Its description in RNAcentral is "partial 16S ribosomal RNA". Lineage: Bacteria; Pseudomonadati; Pseudomonadota; Alphaproteobacteria. The record is from RNAcentral.